This 1380-nucleotide ribosomal RNA is filed under the name Chryseobacterium sp. PNP2. Its description in RNAcentral is "16S ribosomal RNA". It matches the Rfam family "Bacterial small subunit ribosomal RNA". Lineage: Bacteria; Pseudomonadati; Bacteroidota; Flavobacteriia; Flavobacteriales; Weeksellaceae. The record is from RNAcentral.
CUAACACAUGCAAGCCGAGCGGUAGAGUCUCUUCGGAGACUUGAGAGCGGCGUACGGGUGCGGAACACGUGUGCAACCUGCCUUUAUCAGGGGGAUAGCCUUUCGAAAGGAAGAUUAAUACCCCAUAAUAUAUUUUGAGGCAUCUUAAGAUAUUGAAAACUCCGGUGGAUAAAGAUGGGCACGCGCAAGAUUAGAUAGUUGGUGGGGUAACGGCCUACCAAGUCAAUGAUCUUUAGGGGGCCUGAGAGGGUGAUCCCCCACACUGGUACUGAGACACGGACCAGACUCCUACGGGAGGCAGCAGUGAGGAAUAUUGGACAAUGGGUGCGAGCCUGAUCCAGCCAUCCCGCGUGAAGGACGACGGCCCUAUGGGUUGUAAACUUCUUUUGUACAGGGAUAAACCUUUCCACGUGUGGAAAGCUGAAGGUACUGUACGAAUAAGCACCGGCUAACUCCGUGCCAGCAGCCGCGGUAAUACGGAGGGUGCAAGCGUUAUCCGGAUUUAUUGGGUUUAAAGGGUCCGUAGGCGGAUCAGUAAAGUCAGUGGUGAAAUCUCAUAGCUCAACUAUGAAACUGCCAUUGAUACUGCUGGUCUUGAGUAAGGUAGAAGUAGCUGGAAUAAGUAGUGUAGCGGUGAAAUGCAUAGAUAUUACUUAGAACACCAAUUGCGAAGGCAGGUUACUAUGUCUUAACUGACGCUGAUGGACGAAAGCGUGGGGAGCGAACAGGAUUAGAUACCCUGGUAGUCCACGCCGUAAACGAUGCUAACUCGUUUUUGGGUUUUCGGAUUCAGAGACUAAGCGAAAGUGAUAAGUUAGCCACCUGGGGAGUACGAACGCAAGUUUGAAACUCAAAGGAAUUGACGGGGGCCCGCACAAGCGGUGGAUUAUGUGGUUUAAUUCGAUGAUACGCGAGGAACCUUACCAAGGCUUAAAUGGGAAUUGAUCGGUUUAGAAAUAGACCUUCCUUCGGGCAAUUUUCAAGGUGCUGCAUGGUUGUCGUCAGCUCGUGCCGUGAGGUGUUAGGUUAAGUCCUGCAACGAGCGCAACCCCUGUCACUAGUUGCCAUCAUUAAGUUGGGGACUCUAGUGAGACUGCCUACGCAAGUAGAGAGGAAGGUGGGGAUGACGUCAAAUCAUCACGGCCCUUACGCCUUGGGCCACACACGUAAUACAAUGGCCGGUACAGAGGGCAGCUACACAGCGAUGUGAUGCAAAUCUCGAAAGCCGGUCUCAGUUCGGAUUGGAGUCUGCAACUCGACUCUAUGAAGCUGGAAUCGCUAGUAAUCGCGCAUCAGCCAUGGCGCGGUGAAUACGUUCCCGGGCCUUGUACACACCGCCCGUCAAGCCAUGGAAGUCUGGGGUACCUGAAGUCGGUGACC